GACUCGAUGGCGGAUGGUCCGCACCUGCGAAUAGUAUGGGCAGAAUUGUACUUUUCCGCAGGAGGUGCCUGUUCGAAUCAGGCUCGAGUCG
Non-coding RNA from Mycena latifolia, 91 nucleotides. The record is from the annotation of a GenBank genome assembly. Lineage: Eukaryota; Fungi; Basidiomycota; Agaricomycetes; Agaricales; Mycenaceae.